GAUGAAGAACGUAGCGAAAUGCGAUAAGUAAUGUGAAUUGCAGAAUUCAGUGAAUCAUCGAAUCUUUGAACGCACAUUGCGCCCGCCAGUAUUCUGGCGGGCAUGCCUGUUCGAGCGUCAUUUCAACCAUCAAGCCCCCGGCUUGUGUUGGGGACCUGCGGCUGCCGCAGGCCCUGAAAACCAGUGGCGGGCUCGCUAGUCACUCCGAGCGUAGUAAUACAUCUCGCUCAGGGCGUGCUGCGGGUUCCGGCCGUUAAAAGCCUUAUUUACCCAAGGUUGACCUCGGAUCAGGUAGGGAGACCCGCUGAACUUAAGCAUAUCAAUAAGCGGAGGA
RNAcentral lists this unclassified non-coding RNA (334 nucleotides) under soil metagenome. RNAcentral's name for it is "partial contains 5.8S ribosomal RNA, internal transcribed spacer 2, and large subunit ribosomal RNA". The stretch from base 1 to 120 matches the Rfam family "5.8S ribosomal RNA", at positions 35 to 154 of the family's 154-position model. The record is from RNAcentral.